RNAcentral lists this ribosomal RNA (454 nucleotides) under uncultured Anoxybacillus sp. RNAcentral describes it as "bacterial SSU rRNA". It matches the Rfam family "Bacterial small subunit ribosomal RNA", at positions 930 to 1382 of the family's 1533-position model. The record is from RNAcentral. Lineage: Bacteria; Bacillati; Bacillota; Bacilli; Caryophanales; Anoxybacillaceae.
CGGUGGAGCAUGUGGUUUAAUUCGAAGCAACGCGAAGAACCUUACCAGGUCUUGACAUCCCCUGACAACCCGAGAGAUCGGGCGUUCCCCUUCGGGGGGACAGGGUGACAGGUGGUGCAUGGUUGUCGUCAGCUCGUGUCGUGAGAUGUUGGGUUAAGUCCCGCAACGAGCGCAACCCUCGACCUUAGUUGCCAGCAUUCAGUUGGGCACUCUAAGGUGACUGCCGGCUAAAAGUCGGAGGAAGGUGGGGAUGACGUCAAAUCAUCAUGCCCCUUAUGACCUGGGCUACACACGUGCUACAAUGGGCGGUACAAAGGGUCGCGAACCCGCGAGGGGGAGCCAAUCCCAAAAAGCCGCUCUCAGUUCGGAUUGCAGGCUGCAACUCGCCUGCAUGAAGCCGGAAUCGCUAGUAAUCGCGGAUCAGCAUGCCGCGGUGAAUACGUUCCCGGGCCUU